This 215-nucleotide long non-coding RNA is filed under the name Olea europaea (common olive). RNAcentral describes it as "long non-coding RNA (OEUR_LNC001658)". Lineage: Eukaryota; Viridiplantae; Streptophyta; Magnoliopsida; Lamiales; Oleaceae. The record is from RNAcentral.
CAUCAUUUAAUUCAUCAAACAUCACAUAAAAAUGGGUUAACGCUGUUGAUACAAAGAUAUUAGAAUGAAACCCAGAUUUCAGAAUGUGGGAAUUUAGCUCUGGGCCAUGUGAUCAGUAUUGGUACAAGCACAGGUGAAACGUACUAGAGUAUAGGCAUUAGGAUCGGAACCGGAUUUGUAUACCAGAGAAGCUUUUGUUAAGGCGGCUGCUGAAU